CAAGUGACCCCGGUCUAACCACCGGGAUGUUCAUAACCCUUUGUUGUCCGACUCUGUUGCCUCCGGGGCGACCCUGCCUUCGGGCGGGGGCUCCGGGUGGACACUUCAAUCUCUUGCGUAACUUUGCAGUCUGAGUAAACUUAAUUAAUAAAUUA
Molecule: unclassified non-coding RNA, 155 nt
Filed under: soil metagenome
Description: partial internal transcribed spacer 1
Source: RNAcentral